GGCCUCGUGGCCCAAUGGCAAGGCGUCUGACUACGAUUGCGGCCAUCACAUCACGUGAGGGUCACGUGAUUUAUCAGGAGAUUGCAGGUUCGACCCCUGCCGGGGUCA
Non-coding RNA from Xylaria sp. FL0933, 108 nucleotides. The record is from the annotation of a GenBank genome assembly. NCBI's taxonomy places the organism in Eukaryota, Fungi, Ascomycota, Sordariomycetes, Xylariales, Xylariaceae.